AGGACGAACGCUGGCGGCGUGCUUAACACAUGCAAGUCGAGCGGAAAGGCCCUUCGGGGUACUCGAGCGGCGAACGGGUGAGUAACACGUGAGUAACCUGCCCCUAGCUCUGGGAUAGCUCCGGGAAACCGGGAUUAAUACCAGAUACGACCACUUUAGACAUCUGUCGUGGUGGAAAGGAUUCCGGCUAGGGAUGGGCUCGCGGCCUAUCAGCUUGUUGGUGGGUAACGGCCUACCAAGGCGACGACGGUA
RNAcentral lists this ribosomal RNA (252 nucleotides) under uncultured bacterium. Its description in RNAcentral is "partial small subunit ribosomal RNA". It matches the Rfam family "Bacterial small subunit ribosomal RNA", at positions 26 to 285 of the family's 1533-position model. The record is from RNAcentral.